Molecule: long non-coding RNA, 356 nt
Organism: Arvicola amphibius (Eurasian water vole)
Lineage: Eukaryota; Metazoa; Chordata; Mammalia; Rodentia; Cricetidae
Exons: 2
Source: RefSeq, a predicted model, not a curated record
ACUGUUAGUAACACAAGGGAACUGGAGGCUCUAAAAAGGAGAGAGUAGACAAAAAUGCCCAUCACCUCAGAGACUCAAAAGCAGAGGUUGAUGUUCCAAGGCUUCAGUGGCAGCAUGGUUUCAUUUUCAUUGUUUUGUAUAGUUUUAUUAUUUUUCUUAUAUUCAGAAGAGAAGAUGAGCAGGCCAGGAGGCAGAUAGAGGGGACUGCAUUGGCGAGCACAGACCCAAUAGUGGAGAAAAUGAAAAAUCAAUAAGUCUUUGGAAGUCAGAACCAGAAGCAUUCUUGUCCUAUCCAUGCCCUUGGGAUGUGUCUUUUACAUAUUAAUUUGAAGAAAUAAAACUUUAAGACCAAGAGA